GUAGUCUGCAACCCGACUACAUGAAGCCGGAAUCGCUAGUAAUCGCGGAUCAGAAUGCCGCGGUGAAUACGUUCCCGGGCCUUGUACACACCGCCCGUCACACCAUGAGAGUUGGGAAUACCCGAAGCCUGUGAGCUAACUUAUAGAGGCAGCAGUCGAAGGUAGAAUCAAUGAUUGGGGUGAAGUCGUAACAAGGUACC
Molecule: ribosomal RNA, 200 nt
Filed under: uncultured bacterium
Lineage: Bacteria
Description: partial 16S ribosomal RNA
Rfam family: Bacterial small subunit ribosomal RNA
Source: RNAcentral